GGCUCUCCAUUGUAGCUGCUGUCAUAUCCUUCACAUACUCCACUAUUGGGCUAGGCCUUGGUAUUGGAAAAGUUAUUGAAAAUAGAGGAGUCGGGGGAAGCCUAACCGGGAUAACAGUUGGUACCGUGACAUAAACUGAAAAAGUUUGGAGAACCAUGCAAGCUCUUGGUGACAUAGCCUUUGCCUAUUCAUACUCCCUCAUCCUUGUAGAAAUUCAGGACACAGUGAAAUCCCCUCCAUCAGAGU
Glycine soja is the source of this 246-nucleotide long non-coding RNA. RefSeq lists it as uncharacterized. The record is from RefSeq and is a predicted model, not a curated record. Lineage: Eukaryota; Viridiplantae; Streptophyta; Magnoliopsida; Fabales; Fabaceae. The transcript is spliced from 3 exons.